This 393-nucleotide long non-coding RNA is filed under the name Anolis carolinensis (green anole). RNAcentral describes it as "lncRNA (ENSACAG00000036487.1)". The record is from RNAcentral. Lineage: Eukaryota; Metazoa; Chordata; Lepidosauria; Squamata; Anolidae.
AUGUGUGUUUAUUGUUUUAAAAUGCAGCAUACUUGGAGAGACAUUGUAACAGAGUAUGUUUAUGUCAUUAUAAGGAUGUUAUGGAAAUUUUGUUUGACUGUAAGACUUUUUGCCUUAUGUAUCUUUCAGAAGGGAAAACCCAUGAAUGAGAUUGGAAACGGGGUCAUUUGUUGUCUCACCCAGACAAGCUGGUGGAAUGAUUUGAUUCUCUUUUUAAAGGGAGAACCUGGUGAAGUGGGAGAAGGUGGACCACCAGGGCUUAAGGGUGAUCCUGGACAGCAAGGAGAAAAGGGUGAUGCUGGAGAUAGUGGACCCAAAGGUGACACCGGAGAAAAGGUAUACUUUGUACUGAAUUCAGUAGUAGUAGUAGUAGUAGUAGUAGUAGUAGUUUGA